Non-coding RNA from Biomphalaria pfeifferi, 550 nucleotides. Lineage: Eukaryota; Metazoa; Mollusca; Gastropoda; Planorbidae. The record is from the annotation of a GenBank genome assembly.
AAAAAUUGACAUGUCUUUCUGUUCAUUUCUGAUCAGGAUAGCUGCUAAAUUAAAGAAGUGAAUUUUUUAAAUUGUCAAACAGCAGCCUAUAAACAUUAUUUAUGAGAUAGAUAAUAUUAAAAAUAGUUCAGAGAUAAGCACUUAAUAUACUUUUGGACUAAAUUGCAAUUUUUAGAGUAUCCUAAUACAGUUAUCUAUUUGUUCAAAAAAAAAAAAUAACAAAAAAUUAUAAAUAAAAAUUUACAUCAUCGGAGAUUUGAACUCGUUACCUUUGCCUCGAAAAGCCAUUGCUCUACGAAACUGCCACAAGGCACAAGUAUAAAGAGGAUAUACAGGUUAUUUAUAAAAAAAACAACUCAUUUUAAAUCAAUAUUUCUUACUGAAAGAGAUAUGUAAAAUUUUUUAUUUAGUAUUUUACAAAUUCUGUUUCAAAAUGUUGUAUUUUAUAUGAAUUAUUAAAUUGUUUAUGUUUAAUAACAUUAUUAGUACAAAGAAAGCAUUUUUAAUGGUGAAGCAAUAUUUUACCUUUAAAAGACCAAAUCUAGUCAUA